CCUACGGGAGGCAGCAGUAAGGAAUAUUGGUCAAUGGAGGCAACUCUGAACCAGCCAUGCCGCGUGCAGGAUGAAGGCCCUAUGGGUCGUAAACUGCUUUUGUACCAGAGAAAACCCGAGUACGUGUACUCGGUUGAUAGUAUGGUAAGAAUAAGCAUCGGCUAACUUCGUGCCAGCAGCCGCGGUAAGACGAAGGAUGCAAGCGUUAUCCGGAUUCAUUGGGUUUAAAGGGUGCGUAGGCGGACUGAUAAGUCAGUGGUGAAAUCUCUCGGCUUAACCCGAGAAC
This 286-nucleotide ribosomal RNA is filed under the name uncultured bacterium. Its description in RNAcentral is "partial 16S ribosomal RNA". It matches the Rfam family "Bacterial small subunit ribosomal RNA", at positions 338 to 622 of the family's 1533-position model. The record is from RNAcentral.